Pyrgilauda ruficollis (rufous-necked snowfinch) is the source of this 1674-nucleotide long non-coding RNA. RefSeq lists it as uncharacterized. The record is from RefSeq and is a predicted model, not a curated record. The transcript is spliced from 3 exons. NCBI's taxonomy places the organism in Eukaryota, Metazoa, Chordata, Aves, Passeriformes, Passeridae.
CUGGCGCCCAACGUGGGGCUUGAGAACAUCAACGGCACAUUUCCCAAUCCCUGCAAAAGCAGCGGCUCCAGGCAGGCACAGUCACGGGCAGGGAUGUGCCCUCCCAGCCACGUGGUUGUCUUCGAGGGUCCCAGGACGAGGAAGAGAUGAGAAUCUUGACUCCAUCUUUUCAGAAGGGUGCAGCUCCAGGCAGCUGGGAGGUGACAGCAGGAGGGACAGCCAGGACUGAGGGACAGCCAGAAACUCUGCUCUGGCACCAGCUGAGCUCCAGGAGACUGGCUCCGUGGGACUUCUCUUGGGGAAGCAAACAGGGCUGUGCAGGGGAAUUUCUGCCCUGCAGCCCACAGCAGUCAGAGAAGCAGUCAGAGGAGGAAAUCCAUCCAGCCGGGAUUUCUGCAGGGUUUAACCAGAGCCUGGCAUGCAGGAGGAGCCCAGGGCUCGGUCUUUAGGCGGAGAGGCCGCGGGAGCCGCAGCCGUGCCCGGCAGAGCUCAGAGCUCGGGUCACCGGCAGAGCAGAUCGGCAGGAGCGGAGCUGAGCGCUGGGCAGCUGGAGCUGCAGCCAAGGCCGGCAGGGGGGACACUGCUGCCACUGCCACUGCCACUGCCACUGCCACUGUCACUGCCACUGCCACCCUCCGAGCCCCCGGGUUCUGCAAGGACGGGCACUGAGUGCCCCCGGCCCCGCUGCGGCCAGCCGGGCACCGAGCCCCUCUCCAGUCACAGCGCCCUGUGCCCACGGGGAGCGGGGACCUGGGCACAGCAGAAGUGUGGCUGUAAUUGGGAUUAAUCUAUUUUUAGCAGGCUGUCUGCUGCCCUGUCCACGCUCCAGCUGAGAUGUUUAAUUCUGUCCAGCUUGACUCUUUCUGCAGUGGCACCCAGGACUGAUUUUUCUUUCCUUACAAACCUUGAAUGUAUUUGGGUUGGGUUUUUUUUUUUUUUUUUUUCCAAUUCAUUGUUUUUCCUUGUUUUGUUUUUUUUUUUUUAAUCUUUUUUUCCCCCUACCUACAAUAACUGGAAAAUCCAGCACUGAAGUAAUACAAAGAUUGCUGUAUUAAAAUAAAAAAAAAAAAAAGUUAUACAACAUUUACUAUCAUUAUUAUUCAUUUUACUAUGGAGUUUGGAAACCUCGUCAUAGAACAGGAAUGUGUUGUACCCUGUGCUGCACAAACAGCACAGAAGGAAAAUUGCCUCUUCCAAGCUAUAUUGGAUAAAAACACGCAGUGAUACCAAAAGGAUUUUGGUUAAACAGCAGCAGGACAAGAUGUUAAAGCCAUCUCUGAGCACCUCACCAUUUACUGACCCCGCACUUAAAUACCUGCCAUGUGUAUCUUUAACCUUUUAUGAGGUAUUUGCAAAGGGAACUUCGAGAUUAGACUUGGGAAAACACCCUGGAACACAGUUGGACCGACAUCAAGAGCCUGCUCCGGCUCGGGAAUGUUUGCCUUUCCCAAAUCCUCCUGGCCCGUGCCAGAGCGGGACCCGCUGCCCAGGGAGCGGAACCUUCAGCAGAGCAGCCAGAGCGGCUCUUUGGGCUUCUCCUGGCGAUUGGGAAGAUGCUCUGCAGGGAAAACCAGGGUCCUGUGCCGAAAGCUGCCCUGCAAACCCAGCCCGGGGCCGGUUCUGUGGGGUUUGGACCCUGCUGGGUUCGGAUCCUGCUGGGUUUGGAUCCUGCUG